GACGAACGCUGGCGGCGUGCUUAACACAUGCAAGUCGAACGGUGAAGCGCCUUCCUUUUUGGUGGGUGUGGAUGAGUGGCGAACGGGUGAGUAACACGUGAGUAACCUGCCCCCUUCUUCUGGAUAACCGCAUGAAAGUGUGGCUAAUACGGGAUAUUCUGGGUCUGUCGCAUGAUGGGUCUGGGAAAGAUAUUGUUUCGGUUGGGGAUGGGCUCGCGGCCUAUCAGCUUGUUGGUGGGGUGAUGGCCUACCAAGGCGGUGACGGGUAGCCGGCCUGAGAGGGUGGACGGUCACACUGGGACUGCGCCACGGCCCAGACUCCUACGGGAGGCAGCAGUGGGGACUCUUGCACAAUGGGCGCAAGCCUGAUGCAGCGACGCCGCGUGAGGGAUGGAGGCCUUCGGGUUGUGAACCUCUUUCGCCAGUGAAGCAGGCCUGCCUCGUUUGUGGGUGGGUUGACGGUAGCUGGAUAAGAAGCGCCGGCUAACUACGUG
RNAcentral lists this ribosomal RNA (494 nucleotides) under uncultured bacterium. RNAcentral's name for it is "partial 16S ribosomal RNA". It matches the Rfam family "Bacterial small subunit ribosomal RNA", at positions 28 to 507 of the family's 1533-position model. The record is from RNAcentral.